UACGUAGGGUGCAAGCGUUAAUCGGAAUUACUGGGCGUAAAGCGUGCGCAGGCGGUUUUGUAAGUCUGUCGUGAAAUCCCCCGGGCUCAACCUGGGGAAUUGCGAUGGAGACUGCAAGGCUAGAAUCUGGCAGAGGGGGGUAGAAUUCCACGUGUAGCAGUGAAAUGCGUAGAGAUGUGGAGGAACACCGAUGGCGAAGGCAGCCCCCUGGGUCAAGAUUGACGCUCAUGCACGAAAGCGUGGGGAGCAAACGAGG
RNAcentral lists this ribosomal RNA (256 nucleotides) under uncultured bacterium. RNAcentral's name for it is "partial 16S ribosomal RNA". It matches the Rfam family "Bacterial small subunit ribosomal RNA", at positions 524 to 777 of the family's 1533-position model. The record is from RNAcentral.